Clostridium grantii DSM 8605 is the source of this 75-nucleotide non-coding RNA. The record is from Rfam. NCBI's taxonomy places the organism in Bacteria, Bacillati, Bacillota, Clostridia, Eubacteriales, Clostridiaceae.
AAGAGCCGGAUGCCGACAAUCUGCAAGUCCGGUUCUGUGAGGGGUACGGGAAGGUGACUUCCAUAUCUACUCGAC